UUUUAGUGUUUAUUGUUGGUUGGUCUUCUUUCCUCCCUUUUCGGUUUACCAUUGUUUUUUUUGUUUUGUUUUUUGUUUGUAUUUCUUAGUGAUGGUAAAAAUGGAACAAUUGUGAGAUGAAAUCCUUUGGAACAACUGAAAGAUUGGAUCUUCUGAAACAUUUGAAACACCUCCGCACAGCAACAUCUGGAGGUCAAACUGGUGGAAAUGAGCCUGAGCUCAUGUGAAGAUGGGAGAACGUUCUACUGCAAAGGCCGGUUCCUCAGCAUCAGCAGAAGUCUGUUGGCAGCAGACAGGAGGGUGGAGCAGGUCAGUCUGCAGCUGAUCAGCUGCUGAUUACCAAUACAACAUAAGUCAAAGGUCAAAGAGACACAAAGGUCAGACUUAAGUCCCGACUGUCCUCGUGGUUGGAUACGGGCUGUAUGCGGGUGAAAAAUGGUCAAACCUGUAAGAGGUUUUAAGAUUGUGGAUCCCUCGGUGAGCCUAGAGGAAGAAAGUGUUCUUUUUUUACAAUUGGUUGUAGUUAACGCUCAUGCAACACGUUAGGGGAAGUUGGUGUGUCGUACACAUUUGUCAUUUUUUUCAACCCCCACCCCACAUCCAGCAGAAAACACAGGGAGCCCGUUAGUGUCGUUCACGUGAUGAGUUCGCGCACUUCGUCCAGCAUCAAAAAAAUCGCCACGACAACAUGUUAAAACACCAAAAACACAGAUUUAAUCUGUGGGUCUUUAAGAUGCACCCAUUCCUGCCUGCAACCCAGGCAUGGACAACCCAAAAACCCAAAGUAUCCCAAAUCUUCAAUGCAAAAAAUCUCAUCACAGGGAAUCCAACAUAAAGACGGCAGGAGAGGAAAACUGGACUGAAGUCAAGGGGCAGCAGCAAAGAACUCUGGGAGGGCAGGACUUCAAUGACUCAACAACACACUGGCUGGAGUUCUGAGCAGCUGAAACCAAAGCAAGCUCCUCUGUGUUUGAGGAAGAACCACAAAAGCAUGCAGCAGGUAGAACAUGGAGCCAACACAAACACACACAGACUGCACAGCAUGAAAAGGUGCCUUCAGCCUUCAUGCAGCCCCCCUCCCGUGUGGAUCAGUGUUGUUUACAGGAGCAGGUAGACUGUGCGUUUGUUGUCUCAGUUCCAUCGCUGUCACCGCGUCCCCUUCAAGCACCAGAAGCCCGGCUGAGCCUGAAUUAUCCAAACGGUUCCACUCCAGGCGAUUCAGCAGCGCGGCACUAACGCUCAGCGACAGCUGGCUCACGAGGAGGAGAACACGCCGCCGCCGCCGCAGCAUUUCAGCCAUGCAGCACUUAAAUAAUAAAACCCUCAUGAGUUCGUCUGAUUGUUUAAUUGUUUAACCGAUGUUUAAUUCAUCCUCCGUCUUGUUUCGGCAGAAAAUGUGUCACAGAAAACAGAAGACAGGGAAGUGCUCUCCGAUGUUUAAGGAGCUCAGCCAGUUAUUUCCCAAGUGAGCAGCCGCCAAAGCCAAUCCAGCCGCUGAGUCUGCUCUCUCUCAGCAAGACAGCAGCUGAAGUGGAAGCUGAACUCCUGCACUGCAGAACACCAUCCAGCAGGAAGUGGCCUGAAACGGGGCAGGAAACGCUGUUCCACAUGGAGUAAGGGCUCACUGCAGCUUCAUCUGAAAGCAAAGUGAUGGUGGACAGGUGGCAGCCCCAUCACUGACACAGAGGAAGCUGAAAAUGCUGGAGCACAGGGAUGCACAGUGGCAUCCAGGGUAACCUCUGAACAGACUUUCUGCUGUAGUUUCUGCGUUAACCACAGAUGAAAUGUUUCUUCUGUUUUUUUACACCGUUCACAAACUUUCCAGUAAUCCGCCGCACUUUAACACCUUCUGUUGACUUUGACGCCCACACAUUGUUACUCUUCAGCACACUAAGGCUAAAGCCUACACAUUCAAGCACAGCCGACUGAAUCACAGGAAGAAACAUUAAUGAUCUGAGCAUGAAUCAAACCGAAAUGCAUCUUUCUUUGACAGCAAGCAAUCUGUUUUUAUUUGUCUUUUGUAUCCUGGAUGAAUAUUCUUCAGGCUGAUAGAAUAAUUGUGUUUGGACGUGCCUUUGCCUUCAAUGCCGGACUUUUAAGGACUCAAUCGGAAGAAUAUGGUGUGGUUAACAUGUUCUCAUUUUUGUGAUCAUGGAGGAAAUAUAUAAGGAGAAUUCAUCUUAAAAUUGCAGUUCUGAGUAUUUCUUUAUUCAAAUCAUUUUGAGUCAGCAAGAACGAAAAAAUGUUAUUUGAAAAAAGUCGUUGUUGUGACAUGGAAAAUACACCGGACUGAAACUGUGUCCUAGAAAACAACACAGGUUUUUAGAUCUGGGAUAAAAACAGCAUAAUCAUCAUUAAAGACCCCUGGAAACGCUUUGAAAAUAAAUCAAAUGAUGAUCGGUGUUGAUGUUUAAAAGAAUCUCCCAAAACUGACUGAAAAAGUGUGAACUGAAGUCCUGCAGGUCUCUGUCCUUAACAUGGUCUGUGCACAUUUGACCCUCCCACAGGGUAAAAUCCAGGUGUGACUGACAGACGCAUGAGAUGACCUGAGGCUCUUUGAAGACCCUGACCUGGAGCAGUUUUCCAGGUUAGUUCUCUGCUGUGAUGCUUGACUGAGCUGUGAACUGUGGCGGUUUGAUCAAACCCAUUUUCAUCACCUCUCUCUUGUUUUUUACCCCGCCGCCCCCUCGAAAAAGAAUCAGUGUUUGGUUUGCUGAGUAUACAAUAAAUAAAGGAGCCGUCGCUGAUUAAACUACCAUCAUCACAUCACAGGCCAGGAUGAAUACAGCUAUUCCCCAAAUGAAAUUCAUUUAAACAAAUGUGAAAACCUUUAAUUUUCGUCAAUGUUUCAGCUCAUUUUCAGUCACAUUGUUGAAUCUGCAGCUCAUGACUGAUCUGGAAGCUUCCGCCUCUCCUGGGGUGUUGGGAAGAUGCCUGCAGGUGGGGGGGUUUGGUGGAGUGCUCCCCUUUGAGCCAACUCAGGGUCUGCUACAAAAAAAAAAAAAA
Molecule: non-coding RNA, 3006 nt
Organism: Oryzias latipes (Japanese medaka)
Lineage: Eukaryota; Metazoa; Chordata; Actinopteri; Beloniformes; Adrianichthyidae
Source: RefSeq, a predicted model, not a curated record